RNAcentral lists this long non-coding RNA (1433 nucleotides) under Carassius auratus (goldfish). RNAcentral's name for it is "lncRNA (ENSCARG00000069260.1)". The record is from RNAcentral. Lineage: Eukaryota; Metazoa; Chordata; Actinopteri; Cypriniformes; Cyprinidae.
AUGGUCUUGAAAAACGAAAAUGUGUUACAAAUAUACAUUUCUUAUCACAGUCACACAACUGAAGGUGUGGAAGAGAGCAUGAUAAGUUUCACAGCUAAUGGACUGACCAUCAUAGCUGAUGAGGAAUACUUGACCAUCACCACCACAGCACCCUCGCCUCCAAGCUGCAGCAAUGCUGUCUCCAAUGAACCUCCACCACCACCACCGGCCCUUUCCCCAUCACUGUUAAGCACACCUCCAUCCUACCAGCAAGCAACUCAAGCGUCAUCACCAGUGAAACCUCCUGACCAGUUUACCCUCCCCUCAGCCAGAAACAACAACGGCUGGGAUGAUGAUGAUGAAGAGGAGGAUGACGAAGAUCCCCAAAGGGACAUGUUGAAGGAGUUUGAACUGAAUGUCUCACUGACCAAAUCAUGGUGUGGCAGUUUUGGUUUUACAAUAACCAGGAGUAAACUGGACAACUGCUUUUAUGUCCAGGAGAUCCUGGAUAAUCCAGCCAAAGCAGAUGGCAGACUUAGGGCUGGAGACAGGCUUGUCAUGGUACCACUUUUCCCACCAUUAGAAACACAAUCACAGUUAUGCUUUUAUGACCAUCCCUUUCUGAAGAUUUCAUAAGAUUGUGUUGUCAGUGAUUUGAAUUGGCAUUAUCUCCUUUUAGGUAAACGGUCACAAUGUGACCAGCGUGACAGAUGAUGUGGUUAUUAGCAUCCUCAGGUCUUCCUCUAAAAGACUGCACAUGGUGCUGGGCAGAGCUGUGCAAAAUCUACUCCCUCCGCCGCCUCCCGACAGACUCCAGGACAUUGUCAUCCCCAAGACUCCAUCCGGACAACUGGGUGAGGAGAUGCUUUAUAGCAUAUAUAUAGAUAUAUAACAAAAAGAUUUCACAUUCAAUUCAAAAUGAUGAUCCUUUUGCAUCUGUUUAUGCAGGUAUCAAGCUAACAGGGGGUAUUGGCAGCAAGUGGCAGGGAAUUUAUGUCCAGGAGGUGGUGCCAAGCUCCCCUGCUAGUGAAGAGGGCAGCAUCCAGCCCAAUGACAAGAUUGUUUAUAUAUGUGGGAAGUGCACCCUGGGAAUGAUGCUGGAGGAUGCUGUGAAAGUGUGUGAGAGUGCCCCACGCAAAGUCCGAUUAAAAGCCAUGAGGUUUGAAUGGAGAAUAAUUAUGUUUAAACAUGAAUUAGUAUCAGUUUUUGCCUUAAUAAGUUUUUAUUUAAUGUUUGCUUUGUUUCAGAGAUGACCAACCAGUGAUACCAGUAGAUAAAUGGAAUGGUACGUUUGAGCCGAGUCUACUUGAAUUACAGCAAUAAUUGGUUUAUUCAUAAUUUAUACAAAAUAUAAAGGUUGAUGUUUACUGUAAUAAGAUUGUGUGUUUGCUGAUAUUAUUGAUUCUUUUGAUUAUAUGGGGUUACAUGUAGACUUUAACCUUCCCUUGGGCCAG